GCCAGGCGUGGUGGCGCGUGCCUGUAGCCCCAGCUAUUCAGGAGGCUGAGGCUGGAGGAUCUCUUGAGUCCAGGAGUUUUGGGCUGUAGUGCACUAUCCCGAUUGGGUGUCCACACUAAGUUCGGCAUUAAUACGGUGACCUCCUGGGAGCGGGGGACCACCAGGUUGCCUAAGGAGGGGUGAAGCGGCCCAGGUUGGAAAUGGAGCAGGUCAAAACUCCUGUGCUGAUCAGUAGUGGGAUCGUGCCUGUGAAUAGCCACUGCACUCCAGCCUGGGCAACACAGCGAGACCCCAUCUGU
This 299-nucleotide signal recognition particle RNA is filed under the name Cebus imitator (Panamanian white-faced capuchin). RNAcentral describes it as "Metazoan signal recognition particle RNA (ENSCCAG00000006867.1)". It matches the Rfam family "Metazoan signal recognition particle RNA". Rfam says of the family: The signal recognition particle (SRP) is a universally conserved ribonucleoprotein. It is involved in the co-translational targeting of proteins to membranes. The record is from RNAcentral. Lineage: Eukaryota; Metazoa; Chordata; Mammalia; Primates; Cebidae.